This 73-nucleotide transfer RNA is filed under the name Myotis brandtii (Brandt's bat). It matches the Rfam family "tRNA". Rfam says of the family: Transfer RNA (tRNA) molecules are approximately 80 nucleotides in length. Their secondary structure includes four short double-helical elements and three loops (D, anti-codon, and T loops). The record is from Rfam by way of RNAcentral. Lineage: Eukaryota; Metazoa; Chordata; Mammalia; Chiroptera; Vespertilionidae.
GCCAGUGUGGCUCAGUGGAUAGGGCGUCGGCCUGAGGAUCCAAGGGUCCCGGGUUCGAUUCCGGUCAAGGGCA